This 253-nucleotide ribosomal RNA is filed under the name uncultured bacterium. RNAcentral's name for it is "partial 16S ribosomal RNA". It matches the Rfam family "Bacterial small subunit ribosomal RNA", at positions 524 to 776 of the family's 1533-position model. The record is from RNAcentral.
UACGAAGGGUGCAAGCGUUACUCGGAAUUACUGGGCGUAAAGAGCACGUAGGCGGUUUGAUAAGCGGAAUGUGAAAGCCCCGGGCUUAACCUGGGAACUGCAUUCCGAACUGUCAGGCUAGAGUAUGAUAGAGGUGAGCGGAAUUUCCUGUGUAGCGGUGAAAUGCGUAGAUAUAGGAAGGAACAUCAGUUGCGAAGGCGGCUCACUGGAUCAAUACUGACGCUGAGGUGCGAAAGCGUGGGUAGCGAACAGG